GCAGUCGAGCGCUACCUUCGGGUGGAGCGGCGGACGGGUUAGUAACGCGUGGGAACGUACCCAGAUCUAAGGAAUAGCCACUGGAAACGGUGAGUAAUACCUUAUACGCCCUUCGGGGGAAAGAUUUAUCGGAUUUGGAUCGGCCCGCGUUAGAUUAGAUAGUUGGUGGGGUAAUGGCCUACCAAGUCUACGAUCUAUAGCUGGUUUUAGAGGAUGAUCAGCAACACUGGGACUGAGACACGGCCCAGACUCCUACGGGAGGCAGCAGUGGGGAAUCUUGGACAAUGGGCGCAAGCCUGAUCCAGCCAUGCCGCGUGAGUGAUGAAGGCCUUAGGGUCGUAAAGCUCUUUCGCCAGAGAUGAUAAUGACAGUAUCUGGUAAAGAAACCCCGGCUAACUCCGUGCCAGCAGCCGCGGUAAUACGGAGGGGGUUAGCGUUGUUCGGAAUUACUGGGCGUAAAGCGUACGUAGGCGGAUUAGUCAGUCAGAGGUGAAAUCCCAGGGCUCAACCCUGGAACUGCCUUUGAUACUGCUAGUCUUGAGUUCGAGAGAGGUGAGUGGAAUUCCAAGUGUAGAGGUGAAAUUCGUAGAUAUUUGGAGGAACACCAGUGGCGAAGGCGGCUCACUGGCUCGAUACUGACGCUGAGGUACGAAAGUGUGGGGAGCAAACAGGAUUAGAUACCCUGGUAGUCCACACCGUA
RNAcentral lists this ribosomal RNA (700 nucleotides) under Lentibacter sp. RNAcentral's name for it is "bacterial SSU rRNA". It matches the Rfam family "Bacterial small subunit ribosomal RNA", at positions 57 to 804 of the family's 1533-position model. Lineage: Bacteria; Pseudomonadati; Pseudomonadota; Alphaproteobacteria; Rhodobacterales; Roseobacteraceae. The record is from RNAcentral.